Molecule: ribosomal RNA, 253 nt
Filed under: uncultured bacterium
Lineage: Bacteria
Description: partial 16S ribosomal RNA
Rfam family: Bacterial small subunit ribosomal RNA
Source: RNAcentral
UACGUAGGCAGCAAGCGUUGUUCGGAAUUACUGGGCGUAAGGAGUGCGUAGGCGGUUAACUAAGUUUGGUGUGAAAUCUCCCGGCUUAACUGGGGGGGUGCGGUGAAAACUGUCUAACUAGAGAGUGGGAGGGGAUAGUGGAAUUCCUGGUGUAGCGGUGAAAUGCGCAGAUAUCAGGAGGAAUACCUGUGGUGAAGGCGACUAUCUGGACCUAGACUGACGCUGAGGCACGAAAGCGUGGGUAGCAAACAGG